UCAUUGUUGGCUUCUUAUCAGUGGUAGAAUGCUCGCCUGCCACGCGGGCGGCCCGGGUUCGAUUCCCGGCCGAUGCA
Cordylochernes scorpioides is the source of this 77-nucleotide non-coding RNA. NCBI's taxonomy places the organism in Eukaryota, Metazoa, Arthropoda, Arachnida, Pseudoscorpiones, Chernetidae. The record is from the annotation of a GenBank genome assembly.